UUAAUUAUAAAUUGAGAUUUCUGAUGUAAGUCAUGUACAGAUACUGAACAUGGUGACUUAAAUGGACAAACUACCAUACUAAAAACACUUCAUAAUAUACAAUUUGUCUCCCUCUAAACCAAUACGCUCACCACAACUGCUUUUUCAACCACCUCGCCGUUGAUUUUCUUAUAAUCAUCUAUGAUCACCUCAUGAUAAUCUUAGAAUAUUGCGUUCUUUCGAAAAGGUCCACGAUAGAUUUUAUCGGAGUCAAAUAGACCUUCAUAUGCGACUAAAGUCGCUCCAACCGGGUGUGUUCGAAGACGCUUUAAUGCCUGUUUAAGGGUUUGAUACUUAUAGAUGUAUGUGGUGUUGAACAUUUUUUCGUCUAGAAUAGGUAACCACUUUGUGGUACAUGAAGGUCUUUGCCCGUUCAUCUCCAAUCGUUCUCUAGGUAUACCAAACUUUUUUAUGAACCUGACCACCACGUAGUACUUUAGCAUCUACAUACUUGCGUGGAUCGACCUUUUGCAAAAGAUAUUCUCUACACAACCGCUCAUAGUUUUCUUCCCAACCAUGUAAUACACGGGAUACACUUACCAGGUUAGUGGACUAUGAGUUAUUAUUUUAGCUUAUUCAAACUAUAUGUUAUUUAUGACAUAUAUAUAUAUAUAUAUAUUA
RNAcentral lists this small RNA (660 nucleotides) under Arabidopsis thaliana (thale cress). RNAcentral describes it as "ATSL122570". The record is from RNAcentral. Lineage: Eukaryota; Viridiplantae; Streptophyta; Magnoliopsida; Brassicales; Brassicaceae.